This 497-nucleotide ribosomal RNA is filed under the name uncultured bacterium. RNAcentral's name for it is "partial 16S ribosomal RNA". It matches the Rfam family "Bacterial small subunit ribosomal RNA", at positions 28 to 507 of the family's 1533-position model. The record is from RNAcentral.
GAUGAACGCUGGCGGCGUGCCUAAUACAUGCAAGUCGAGCGAACGGACGAGAAGCUUGCUUCUCUGAUGUUAGCGGCGGACGGGUGAGUAACACGUGGAUAACCUACCUAUAAGACUGGGAUAACUUCGGGAAACCGGUGCUAAUACCGGAUAAUAUUUUGAACCGCAUGGUUCAAAAGUGAAAGACGGUCCUGCUGUCACUUAUAGAUGGAUCCGCGCUGCAUUAGCUAGUUGGUAAGGUAACGGCUUACCAAGGCAACGAUGCAUAGCCGACCUGAGAGGGUGAUCGGCCACACUGGAACUGAGACACGGUCCAGACUCCUACGGGAGGCAGCAGUAGGGAAUCUUCCGCAAUGGGCGAAAGCCUGACGGAGCAACGCCGCGUGAGUGAUGAAGGUCUUCGGAUCGUAAAACUCUGUUAUUAGGGAAGAACAUAUGUGUAAGUAACUGUGCACAUCUUGACGGUACCUAAUCAGAAAGCCACGGCUAACUACGUG